RNAcentral lists this long non-coding RNA (1593 nucleotides) under Pelobates cultripes (western spadefoot toad). Lineage: Eukaryota; Metazoa; Chordata; Amphibia; Anura; Pelobatidae. The record is from RNAcentral.
GUUACGUGUGUGGGGGAGCCAGGCCCCAUCUGGGCACAGUUCCUCUGAAUUUACCUCCUGAAGUAGAAUCAUGUGUUCUGAGCCUUUACACACAGUCCGUCACCAAUUCUUCGACAUGUGAAUCAUGGAAGAGAAUUUACCCGAUCACUCACGGACAUGUAAAACCACCUGAUGGAGUCACCAUCUACCCAGGUAAUUACACAUGUUAUACAAUAUCUAAAAACACCGGUUUGUAUUUGGGCAAAUUCCCAUCAGGAUAUUGCUCAACUUACCAUAAUCCACCCGUAUCACUGCUAAUGAACCACACAAAGACAAUCGGCGACAUCUAUUGGUUAUGUGGGGAUAAACAAUUGAGGUCCCAAUUAAUUGGGCAAUGGUGGGGGGAGUGUGCCCUAACCAAAGUCAUAAUGCCUAUCCAUAUCAUUCCAGAUGGUGACCAUAACACGUUAAACCUCACACAUGCACACUCUAGAAUCAAACGAGAGACUCCUAUUCGAGGGAGUUUCGACCCCCAUGUGUAUAUUGAUGCCAUAGGUGUGCCAAGGGGGGUGCCUAACGAAUUCAAAGCAAGAGAUGAAGUGGCUGCAGGAUUUGAGUCCCUAAUUCCAAUGAUAACUGCUAACAAAAAUGUCAAUUGGAUUAACUAUAUUUACUAUAAUCAACAGCGUUUUGUCAACUACACUAGGGAUGCCCUACAGGGCCUGGCAGAGCAACUACAAGCCACUACCCAAAUGACAUUUCAGAACAGAAUGGCCCUAGAUAUGAUUUUAGCUGAGAAAGGGGGUGUAUGUAAAAUCCUCCCUGAGACCAUGACAUGCUGCACAUACAUUCCAGACAACACUGGGCCCAAUGGUAAGGUGACUAUGGCCAUAGAGAAGCUAGAUAGUCUUGCAGACGAGCUAAAGAAAAAUUCAGGAGUCAUCGACCCUUGGGACAGAUGGUUUGGAUGGAUGAAUGGUUGGCAAAGGACCCUCUUCCAGGUGGGGACAGCUGUUCUCAUAAUGAUCGUUAUUUUCUUAUUUCUGACCUGUUGCAUAUUCCCCUGCAUACAGAAGUAUUUACAGAAAGCGGUGGACAAGACUAUAGAUGACGUGACCCCUACUUUCAUACACCAAGACAUCACAGACCUCGAAGAUGAUACUCCACAUACACCCCUUCAAUCACAUCAGUUCAAACAAACAACUGCUUUCCUAUAGGGACAGUAUAGGGAAAGUGUCUGUCUUAACUGGCGAGUCUCACGUGUGGAGAUGUAGUGGACUAGCCACUGCGGGUUACCCACGGAGUGAAGUGUUCGAUGCUAGUUAAGGCAGAUAGGUUGCAGGCAACUAGGGACAUACUAGGGACAGUAGCAGUUGUUAUGGUAAAUAGCCAUUUUAGGGGGGACUGUUGUGGAAAUAAGGUCUACACAUAUUUCCUAGUUAGUGAAAAAUGUCUAUUUACUCAUUUCACGAUAUAUAUAUAUAGCUAAGCACACAUGUUAUAAUCAAGAUGGCUGCUAGAAGCUUCUAGCUCCUUCCCCCUCCCCUCCCUUUCUUCUUCCUAACAUUGACUAACUACCUCGUGCACCAAGAUGGCGCCGGGAAACCGUGGGAG